Molecule: non-coding RNA, 123 nt
Organism: Ilyonectria robusta
Lineage: Eukaryota; Fungi; Ascomycota; Sordariomycetes; Hypocreales; Nectriaceae
Source: the annotation of a RefSeq genome assembly
GUCACUUUGGCGGAGUGGUUAACGCGCAGCCCUGCUAGUGUCCAAACAUGAUCCCCGUUGAUCACUGUAGGUCCCAGGAAGGCUGUGACUUCGGUCGCGUAGGUUCGAAUCCUGCAGGUGACG